CUGCUCUAGGCAGGAGGCAGCAGACUCACUGCUUUGUGACAGAUGGUCCUCCUUGAGGUGAGUCCUUCAUAGCUCUGCUGUACUGCAAGCUCCCUGGAAUCAGGGAAAGGGACACGGUUUAAUACAAUGAUUUACUCUUUCACCAUUUACUCUUUCAGAUCUUCCUCAAGAUCUACGAACCUUUAGAAAACAGGACAAAGGAGAGAGGCAUUAGAGAGAAAGGAGGAUGGUGAAAGGAAAUACAGAAAAGAAGGGAGAGUAUUCUUGCACAGUAGAGCAGGUCUGACCCUCUGUCAUUGCUCUCUACAGAAAAUGAAACAGUGAGUUGGGUCAAACAGAAGGUCUUCCAGAACAGCUGGGAAACCUGCCCCAAGAAAGAGUUCAGGUCCUGCUCAUUAUCUUCAAAAAGGGCUGAAGACUUCUGGUCUAUACACUGUUUUCUUGUCCAAAUGCCUUUUCUGCCUUGAGUGGUGUUGCUGUUCUCUGCAUCCUCCUCUGUACCUUGUUCUUCUAUAUGUUCCUGGAAACAUCCUAGAAGCAUAUUGAUGCGAUGAGGGAUUUCUCCUUGAACAAAGAUUUCUCAUUCAUAUAUAAAGUGAUUCCUCUCCAUUCUAAUGACUGCUUUCCCUCUUUCUUUGUGUCUGUCAUGCAUUUUACAUGAAUGAGUUUGAGUCUUAGGAUUUUCUGCCAUUUAUAACUGUUUUUAUUUUCUCUUAUGUUCAUUUGUACCUAUAAUAGUUCUUGGCAGAUUACCAUGCAUUUCUGAAAAAGGCGAUUUUCUCCUUUUUCUGCGGCUCUUUUUCAAGCUGUUUAUAUGUCUGAAUUUACUAGGGCUGAUCCAGAGUUUAGUAUUACUUUGAGUGUGUGAGUCAUAAUCAACAAUUUUAGGCUGCAGUUAAGAAUGGUCCAUUGAAUCCAUUAGCAAGGAACUGAUGUGAAAAGGAAGAUAGAAAUACUAUAAAAUUACUUCCGUAUGCAGGAAAAGAAGCUUAUUCCUGAAAAAAAGAAAAACCAAGCUAAUGGAUGCACAUUAGCAAACAGGUAAGUGCCCAGGAAAUACUGAAUAAAGAAUUUUAGACUUUCCUUGUGUUGUGGUUU
Molecule: long non-coding RNA, 1098 nt
Filed under: Cyanistes caeruleus (blue tit)
Lineage: Eukaryota; Metazoa; Chordata; Aves; Passeriformes; Paridae
Description: lncRNA (ENSCCEG00000010412.1)
Source: RNAcentral